Molecule: ribosomal RNA, 713 nt
Filed under: uncultured bacterium
Lineage: Bacteria
Description: bacterial SSU rRNA
Rfam family: Bacterial small subunit ribosomal RNA
Source: RNAcentral
CGAACGCUGGCGGCAGGCUUAACACAUGCAAGUCGAGCGCAUCCUUCGGGGUGAGCGGCAGACGGGUGAGUAACGCGUGGGAAUCUACCCAACUCUACGGAAUAACUCAGGGAAACUUGUGCUAAUACCGUAUACGCCCUUCGGGGGAAAGAUUUAUCGGAGUUGGAUGAGCCCGCGUUGGAUUAGCUAGUUGGUGGGGUAAAGGCCUACCAAGGCGACGAUCCAUAGCUGGUCUGAGAGGAUGAUCAGCCACAUUGGGACUGAGACACGGCCCAAACUCCUACGGGAGGCAGCAGUGGGGAAUAUUGGACAAUGGGCGCAAGCCUGAUCCAGCCAUGCCGCGUGUGUGAUGAAGGCCUUAGGGUUGUAAAGCACUUUCACCGGAGAAGAUAAUGACGGUAUCCGGAGAAGAAGCCCCGGCUAACUUCGUGCCAGCAGCCGCGGUAAUACGAAGGGGCGUAGCGUUGUUCGGAAUUACUGGGCGUAAAGCGCACGUAGGCGGAUCGAUCAGUCAGGGGUGAAAUCCCAGAGCUCAACUCUGGAACUGCCUUUGAUACUGUCGGUCUAGAGUAUGGAAGAGGUGAGUGGAAUUCCGAGUGUAGAGGUGAAAUUCGUAGAUAUUCGGAGGAACACCAGUGGCGAAGGCGGCUCACUGGUCCAUUACUGACGCUGAGGUGCGAAAGCGUGGGGAGCAAACAGGAUUAGAUACCCUG